GGGGGAUAACACCUGGAAACAGAUGCUAAUACCGCAUAACAACUUGGACCGCAUGGUCCGAGUUUGAAAGAUGGCUUCGGCUAUCACUUUUGGAUGGUCCCGCGGCGUAUUAGCUAGAUGGUGGGGUAACGGCUCACCAUGGCAAUGAUACGUAGCCGACCUGAGAGGGUAAUCGGCCACAUUGGGACUGAGACACGGCCCAAACUCCUACGGGAGGCAGCAGUAGGGAAUCUUCCACAAUGGACGAAAGUCUGAUGGAGCAACGCCGCGUGAGUGAAGAAGGGUUUCGGCUCGUAAAACUCUGUUGUUAAAGAAGAACAUAUCUGAGAGUAACUGUUCAGGUAUUGACGGUAUUUAACCAGAAAGCCACGGCUAACUACGUGCCAGCAGCCGCGGUAAUACGUAGGUGGCAAGCGUUGUCCGGAUUUAUUGGGCGUAAAGCGAGCGCAGGCGGUUUUUUAAGUCUGAUGUGAAAGCCUUCGGCUCAACCGAAGAAGUGCAUCGGAAACUGGGAAACUUGAGUGCAGAAGAGGACAGUGGAACUCCAUGUGUAGCGGUGAAAUGCGUAGAUAUAUGGAAGAACACCAGUGGCGAAGGCGGCUGUCUGGUCUGUAACUGACGCUGAGGCUCGAAAGUAUGGGUAGCAAACAGGAUUAGAUACCCUGGUAGUCCAUACCGUAAACGAUGAAUGCUAAGUGUUGGAGGGUUUCCGCCCUUCAGUGCUGCAGCUAACGCAUUAAGCAUUCCGCCUGGGGAGUACGGCCGCAAGGCUGAAACUCAAAGGAAUUGACGGGGGCCCGCACAAGCGGUGGAGCAUGUGGUUUAAUUCGAAGCUACGCGAAGAACCUUACCAGGUCUUGACAUACUAUGCAAAUCUAAGAGAUUAGACGUUCCCUUCGGGGACAUGGAUACAGGUGGUGCAUGGUUGUCGUCAGCUCGUGUCGUGAGAUGUUGGGUUAAGUCCCGCAACGAGCGCAACCCUUAUUAUCAGUUGCCAGCAUUAAGUUGGGCACUCUGGUGAGACUGCCGGUGACAAACCGGAGGAAGGUGGGGAUGACGUCAAAUCAUCAUGCCCCUUAUGACCUGGGCUACACACGUGCUACAAUGGAUGGUACAACGAGUUGCGAACUCGCGAGAGUAAGCUAAUCUCUUAAAGCCAUUCUCAGUUCGGAUUGUAGGCUGCAACUCGCCUACAUGAAGUCGGAAUCGCUAGUAAUCGCGGAUCAGCAUGCCGCGGUGAAUACGUUCCCGGGCCUUGUACACACCGCCCGUCACACCAUGAGAGUUUGUAACACCCAAAGUCGGUGGGGUAACCUUUUAGGAACCAGCCGCCUAAGGUGGGACAGAUGAUUAGGGUGAAGUCGUAACAAGGUAGCCGUAGGAGAACCUGCGGCUGGAUCACCUCCUUUCUAAGGAA
This 1417-nucleotide ribosomal RNA is filed under the name Lactiplantibacillus pentosus. RNAcentral's name for it is "Lactobacillus pentosus partial 16S ribosomal RNA". It matches the Rfam family "Bacterial small subunit ribosomal RNA". Lineage: Bacteria; Bacillati; Bacillota; Bacilli; Lactobacillales; Lactobacillaceae. The record is from RNAcentral.